AACUAGAAGAAGGUACUAAUUAUACGCAUAAACCAUGAAGCACACCUUGCUAUUACUGAGUACUAACCAUUAUAUUGUGUUUUUCAUGUAGGGGUUCUAGAUCUCCCAGCUUCAAGGGAGAAUGAGGAUCUCUUUAUCAUUGACUGAUGUGUCCUCGAAGCAACAAAGCUAUUUUAUUUUGGGUAAUUAGGCUGAUGGGAAUCGUUGAAGGUUGAAACUACUUUUGGUAAUUAGGCGGCUGGCAUGGUAGUUUAAGUCUGAAACAAUGCUGCUGAAUAUUUUGGUAAAUAGUUGCCCUAGGGCAGCACUACACAACCUGAAAAACUGCAGUUAUGCACAUGUUCUGUACUGAACUAGUGACUAAUGUGUAAAUCUUCUAUAUAUGCUUGUGUACUAAUUAUGAUAUGCUAAGGUACACUAUGCUUGUUCUGUUCUAUGCG
RNAcentral lists this long non-coding RNA (440 nucleotides) under Triticum aestivum (bread wheat). RNAcentral describes it as "long non-coding RNA (TAES_LNC027338)". The record is from RNAcentral. Lineage: Eukaryota; Viridiplantae; Streptophyta; Magnoliopsida; Poales; Poaceae.